Molecule: unclassified non-coding RNA, 551 nt
Filed under: Fusarium oxysporum
Lineage: Eukaryota; Fungi; Ascomycota; Sordariomycetes; Hypocreales; Nectriaceae
Description: sequence contains 18S rRNA gene, ITS1, 5.8S rRNA gene, ITS2, 28S rRNA gene
Rfam family: 5.8S ribosomal RNA (bases 194-347)
Source: RNAcentral
AGUCGUAACAAGGUCUCCGUUGGUGAACCAGCGGAGGGAUCAUUACCGAGUUUACAACUCCCAAACCCCUGUGAACAUACCACUUGUUGCCUCGGCGGAUCAGCCCGCUCCCGGUAAAACGGGACGGCCCGCCAGAGGACCCCUAAACUCUGUUUCUAUAUGUAACUUCUGAGUAAAACCAUAAAUAAAUCAAAACUUUCAACAACGGAUCUCUUGGUUCUGGCAUCGAUGAAGAACGCAGCAAAAUGCGAUAAGUAAUGUGAAUUGCAGAAUUCAGUGAAUCAUCGAAUCUUUGAACGCACAUUGCGCCCGCCAGUAUUCUGGCGGGCAUGCCUGUUCGAGCGUCAUUUCAACCCUCAAGCACAGCUUGGUGUUGGGACUCGCGUUAAUUCGCGUUCCCCAAAUUGAUUGGCGGUCACGUCGAGCUUCCAUAGCGUAGUAGUAAAACCCUCGUUACUGGUAAUCGUCGCGGCCACGCCGUUAAACCCCAACUUCUGAAUGUUGACCUCGGAUCAGGUAGGAAUACCCGCUGAACUUAAGCAUAUCAAUAA